This 1353-nucleotide ribosomal RNA is filed under the name Staphylococcus aureus. RNAcentral describes it as "partial 23S ribosomal RNA". It matches the Rfam family "Bacterial large subunit ribosomal RNA", at positions 1550 to 2904 of the family's 2925-position model. The record is from RNAcentral. Lineage: Bacteria; Bacillati; Bacillota; Bacilli; Caryophanales; Staphylococcaceae.
UUAAGGCUGAGCUGUGAUGGGGAGAAGACAUUGUGUCUUCGAGUCGUUGAUUUCACACUGCCGAGAAAAGCCUCUAGAUAGAAAAUAGGUGCCCGUACCGCAAACCGACACAGGUAGUCAAGAUGAGAAUUCUAAGGUGAGCGAGCGAACUCUCGUUAAGGAACUCGGCAAAAUGACCCCGUAACUUCGGGAGAAGGGGUGCUCUUUAGGGUUAACGCCCAGAAGAGCCGCAGUGAAUAGGCCCAAGCGACUGUUUAUCAAAAACACAGGUCUCUGCUAAACCGUAAGGUGAUGUAUAGGGGCUGACGCCUGCCCGGUGCUGGAAGGUUAAGAGGAGUGGUUAGCUUCUGCGAAGCUACGAAUCGAAGCCCCAGUAAACGGCGGCCGUAACUAUAACGGUCCUAAGGUAGCGAAAUUCCUUGUCGGGUAAGUUCCGACCCGCACGAAAGGCGUAACGAUUUGGGCACUGUCUCAACGAGAGACUCGGUGAAAUCAUAGUACCUGUGAAGAUGCAGGUUACCCGCGACAGGACGGAAAGACCCCGUGGAGCUUUACUGUAGCCUGAUAUUGAAAUUCGGCACAGCUUGUACAGGAUAGGUAGGAGCCUUUGAAACGUGAGCGCUAGCUUACGUGGAGGCGCUGGUGGGAUACUACCCUAGCUGUGUUGGCUUUCUAACCCGCACCACUUAUCGUGGUGGGAGACAGUGUCAGGCGGGCAGUUUGACUGGGGCGGUCGCCUCCUAAAAGGUAACGGAGGCGCUCAAAGGUUCCCUCAGAAUGGUUGGAAAUCAUUCAUAGAGUGUAAAGGCAUAAGGGAGCUUGACUGCGAGACCUACAAGUCGAGCAGGGUCGAAAGACGGACUUAGUGAUCCGGUGGUUCCGCAUGGAAGGGCCAUCGCUCAACGGAUAAAAGCUACCCCGGGGAUAACAGGCUUAUCUCCCCCAAGAGUUCACAUCGACGGGGAGGUUUGGCACCUCGAUGUCGGCUCAUCGCAUCCUGGGGCUGUAGUCGGUCCCAAGGGUUGGGCUGUUCGCCCAUUAAAGCGGUACGCGAGCUGGGUUCAGAACGUCGUGAGACAGUUCGGUCCCUAUCCGUCGUGGGCGUAGGAAAUUUGAGAGGAGCUGUCCUUAGUACGAGAGGACCGGGAUGGACAUACCUCUGGUGUACCAGUUGUCGUGCCAACGGCAUAGCUGGGUAGCUAUGUGUGGACGGGAUAAGUGCUGAAAGCAUCUAAGCAUGAAGCCCCCCUCAAGAUGAGAUUUCCCAACUUCGGUUAUAAGAUCCCUCAAAGAUGAUGAGGUUAAUAGGUUCGAGGUGGAAGCAUGGUGACAUGUGGAGCUGACGAAUACUAA